This 215-nucleotide unclassified non-coding RNA is filed under the name soil metagenome. RNAcentral's name for it is "partial contains 5.8S ribosomal RNA, internal transcribed spacer 2, and large subunit ribosomal RNA". The record is from RNAcentral.
AACAAGGCGUACCUGCGGACCUGCGGAAGGAUCAUUACAGAGUUCAUGCCCUCACGGGUAGAUCUCCCACCCUUGAAUACUAUACCUUUGUUGCUUUGGCGGGCCGCCUUGGCUACUGGCUCCGGCUGGUAAGUGCCCGCCGAAGGACCCCAAAACUCUGAAUAUUAGUGUCGUCUGAGUACUAUAUAAUAGUUAAAACUUUCAACAAUGGAUCU